UGCUCAGCCUGUGACCACAAUUGUGAUCAAGCCUGGUGUGUCUCACUAUUUACACACUCUUUUGAUAACACUGGAGUCGAGAGUUGCAUCCUAACGUAACUCACUGUACUCCAGCAAUGCUGGGGCCGCCUCCCAGCCUCCCUCGGGUCUCAUGGAGGUGGUGAACCUGCAGCAGUUUUAUGGGUCGUGAGGGCUGAAGGACGCAGCGCACCUCACCGCCGUGCCUCUUGAUGGUCUCUCUGCCGCCAAUCCCGCCAAGGGCGAGGCAGCCUGGGCCACAGCGCUGGUGCUGGUGUUGCUAGAGAGGAAGUUUGGUGAGCAGAGGGAGGAGUGGGAGCUGCUGGCCACCAAGGGGCGUGCUUUCCUGGUUGGGUGUGGGGAGCAGCCCGAGGAAAUGCUGGCCAAGGCUCGACUCACGCUGGACUCCCAGUGAUUACCCAUGGACGCAAGGUAGUGGCAGUGGUGACUUCCCCACAGGACCGGCCGGCAGCCAUUGCUGAGAGACAUAGUCAGAAACACUCUGCUCUCUCACCAUGACUAGUUUCCAAGGCCACAGAGAUGAUUAGCCUGGUUCUCAGGAAUGUUUUUUUUUUUCUGAUAAUAAGGUAAAAAUGUUGUUAAUCUGCCACUAGAACUGUAAAAACACCCUUAGAAGCCUGCGUCACUUCAACAAGAGCCUUUUAAAAGUAGUGAAGGUGUGGUGUGGAAGUGUUUGAGAGUACAGUCCUGAAAGCCGUGGUGGAGCUGUGUAGUGUGGCAGUGGUGGGCUCACUGUCACUGGGGUGUUAUGCCACACACUUCUUGUGCCACUCAGUCAGGCUUGCAAUGUCCUAGUUUUCAUAGUAUACUCAAAUUUCAU
Scylla paramamosain (green mud crab) is the source of this 859-nucleotide long non-coding RNA. RefSeq lists it as uncharacterized. The transcript has 2 exons. NCBI's taxonomy places the organism in Eukaryota, Metazoa, Arthropoda, Malacostraca, Decapoda, Portunidae. The record is from RefSeq and is a predicted model, not a curated record.